This 421-nucleotide long non-coding RNA is filed under the name Homo sapiens (human). RNAcentral's name for it is "HSALNT0323555". The record is from RNAcentral. Lineage: Eukaryota; Metazoa; Chordata; Mammalia; Primates; Hominidae.
UGGUGCAAACAACCUUGAAGCGGGACGCAGCCAAAGAACACGAGAUGCCAUUUCUCAGCCCAAUUGGAAAGAGGCCGGGAGCACCAGUUCCCUGACCCCCUCAGCCCCACCGCCUGCCGCCCCCUGGUACUGACCAGCUCCUUCUUCCUCUUCUCCUCUUUCACGUCGGUCUUCUUGAUCUCUGCCUUGAAGGCCUCCGCCUCGCCAUUCUGGUCGUCCUUGGCCAGCAGGUCCAUGAGAGAUCCUGGCAAAUGGGUGUUUCUUCCCAGAAAGGGAUUUUUCUCCAUGACUGCAGUUGAAUUGCAGAGUUGUAGAGACAUCCAGGUUCUUGUUAGUGUGGACGAACUAUCCAUGAAGAUCUUAAAUGCAGGAGUCUAUGAGAACACCAAUUAAUCAAUUGUCAAAUAUUUGAGUAUCUAUU